CCAUGAUGAACUCUUCUAGAUGACGAGUCUUAUUCAGUCCACUGAUGCAGACAAACACAAACUACCAUUCAUGCAUUUCCUGAAC
Exophiala spinifera is the source of this 85-nucleotide small nucleolar RNA. The record is from Rfam. NCBI's taxonomy places the organism in Eukaryota, Fungi, Ascomycota, Eurotiomycetes, Chaetothyriales, Herpotrichiellaceae.